GUGCCAGCAGCCGCGGUAAGACGAACCGUGCGAACGUUGUUCGGAAUCACUGGGCUUAAAGGGCGCGUAGGCGGCCCGACAAGUCCGGGGUGAAAGCCCCCAGCUCAACUGGGGAAGUGCCUCGGAUACUGUCGGGCUCGAGGGAGGUAGGGGCAGGGGGAACUUCUGGUGGAGCGGUGAAAUGCGUUGAUAUCAGAAGGAACGCCGGUGGCGAAAGCGCCCUGCUGGAUCUCUACUGACGCUGAGGCGCGAAAGCCAGGGGAGCGAACGGGAUUAGAUACCCCUGUAGUCC
RNAcentral lists this ribosomal RNA (292 nucleotides) under uncultured bacterium. RNAcentral describes it as "partial 16S ribosomal RNA". It matches the Rfam family "Bacterial small subunit ribosomal RNA", at positions 505 to 796 of the family's 1533-position model. The record is from RNAcentral.